This 702-nucleotide long non-coding RNA is filed under the name Homo sapiens (human). RNAcentral's name for it is "HSALNT0158962". The record is from RNAcentral. Lineage: Eukaryota; Metazoa; Chordata; Mammalia; Primates; Hominidae.
UAGAGAAGCCAGAGGAAGUACAGGAAGAAUCGAGAACUUAGAAGAAGCUGAGAUAAGAAAUGACUAACACAGGGAAGCCCAGAAGUUCUUUUAUGAUAAAGUGUGGUGGCAGCAGCGGGGACAAUGGACCCGUCUAGAAUCCAGUCACCUGGCCAGCGUCGCCUGAGCAUGAAGAGGCCAAAAAGAACCUGGCCUCACCUGACCAGUGUCCCACACACAGGGUGGUAGAGUGAAAGGCCGGCUGUCAGUGGACCCUCAGGAUGUCCCCAUCACACCCGGCGCAAGAGGAUUUUUUUAAGGAUGGAAAGACCAAGACUGUCGAGGAGGGAACAGCACUGCGAGACCCUCCCUGAGGACCAGGCUGGCUGAGUUCCACCUGCAGCUCUGUCAGUGCUGGUUAUGGCUGUCACCUGAGCGGUGCCCACGUGGGGACUGUGCAUCCUGUCCCACUCCCGUCUGUUCCCACCUACCUGGGCCCUGCCCCCUUUCUCCCCAACGCAGCUCCCUGCCGUACUUCACCGUGGCUGAUUCUCACAUCCCAGGUGCCUGACCAUCAGUCCUGAGAUCUUCAUGUCCUAAGAAGCCUCCCAGUCUUCACACAGACAAAGCUCACGCCCCUCCUGAUGGCCCAGGAGAACCUCAAGCUCAUGUCAACGACUCCCCUUUCCAGUCCAGUCAGGACCUUUGGCACCGUAAUGCUCC